Molecule: RNA transcript, 884 nt
Organism: Solea solea (common sole)
Lineage: Eukaryota; Metazoa; Chordata; Actinopteri; Pleuronectiformes; Soleidae
Gene name: PWWP domain-containing DNA repair factor 3B-like
Exons: 6
Source: RefSeq, a predicted model, not a curated record
GCCCCUUUACUCAACGAAACGCCCCUUCACACUACACGACACUCUGAUUGGCUCUCAAGAGACUGCGUCUGAAACGUGAUGAAGUUUACGUUGACCGAGUAUGAAGAGAGAACCCGAAAAAGUAACACGGGAAAAACACGGGAAAAUGACGGAGGAAAAGAGCAACACUACGUUCAGUGAAGGAGCAGACCCUGAGCUGAGAAGAUGCGACUCGGACACUUAUCAGUGUCUGAUCUGCACAAAAAAGGGGAGCUAUGCAAAGCUUGUGUCUCAUCUGCAGGGACACCAAAGGUCAAUGGUGGAGUACGGUGGAAAGGGCCCAACAAGCCCAACAGAAGCGACGCGAGGCAUGUUGUCUGUUAACCAGUGUAAUCACAGAGGAUCAGGGCAUGCUGCAACACCUUGAAAACAUCAUCACAGGCAACACGGUGUCUCCUUGGGCCAAGAAACAGGACAGGGUCAUCCUUCUUUUUGAAGACGAUGAACAAGUGGACAAAGUCAUGCACUUCUUGUCUGAAGUACUCGAACGUACUGAGACAGACAAGAAGUCUGCAGAUCCAGUCGCAUUCGUAAUGGAUGUACUUUUGCCAGAGGCAACAGUAUAAAGUGAACAGCCCUCGGAGCUGUUCACUCCAUCUCCCUGGACAAAGCCAAGGAGAUGUACAUGCGUGGCACAGAGUUUGACUCAAGCGAGAAAACCCAGCUUGGGGAACAGCUUCAGAGCCACAUUUCCUCAAAAGCGAGGCAGAAACUGGAUAGCUUCCUGAGCAAUUACAAGAAAGCCUUGGAGUGUGAGGAAUUCCUCAGGCGCCUGUAAUCCCUGGGUAGUGAAUGUGUCUGCUGGAUAGUCUGUUGUGUAUAAAAUAAAGAAAAUAUAUCAUUCA